Molecule: ribosomal RNA, 657 nt
Filed under: uncultured delta proteobacterium
Lineage: Bacteria; Deltaproteobacteria
Description: bacterial SSU rRNA
Rfam family: Bacterial small subunit ribosomal RNA
Source: RNAcentral
GCAGGUCGCACGAGAACGCUUCAGCUUGCUGAAGUUAGUAAAGUGGCGCACGGGUGUAGUAACGCGUGGGUAAUCUACCCUUGAAUUGGGGAUAACCCGCCGAAAGGCGGGCUAAUACCGAAUGACAUCGUAAAUAUUUAGGUGAUUAUGAUCAAAGAUGGCCUCUACAUGUAAGCUAUUGUUUGGGGAUGAGCCCGCGUACCAUUAGCUUGUUGGUAGGGUAAUGGCCUACCAAGGCUACGAUGGUUAGCUGGUCUGAGAGGAUGAUCAGCCACACUGGAACUGACACACGGUCCAGACUCCUACGGGAGGCAGCAGUGAGGAAUUUUGCGCAAUGGGGGAAACCCUGACGCAGCAACGCCGCGUGAGUGAUGAAGGCUUUCGGGUCGUAAAGCUCUGUCAAGUGGGAAGAACCCAUAUGGUGACAAUACCGCCAUAUGUUGACGGUACCACUGAAGGAAGCACCGGCUAACUCCGUGCCAGCAGCCGCGGUGAUACGGGGGGUGCGAGCGUUAUUCGGAAUUACUGGGCGUAAAGAGCGCGUAGGCGGUCUUUUAAGUCAGGUGUGAAAGCCCGGGGCUCAACCCCGGAAGUGCACUUGAAACUAAGAGACUUGAGUAUGGGAGAGGGAAGUGGAAUUCCUGGUGUAGCGGUGAA